GGUGGCUCAGUUGUAGAGCACUUGCCUUGCAUGCAUGAGGGCCUGGGUUCAAUUCCUCAGCACCA
RNAcentral lists this transfer RNA (65 nucleotides) under Dipodomys ordii (Ord's kangaroo rat). It matches the Rfam family "tRNA". Rfam says of the family: Transfer RNA (tRNA) molecules are approximately 80 nucleotides in length. The record is from Rfam by way of RNAcentral. Lineage: Eukaryota; Metazoa; Chordata; Mammalia; Rodentia; Heteromyidae.